RNAcentral lists this long non-coding RNA (1212 nucleotides) under Oryctolagus cuniculus (rabbit). Its description in RNAcentral is "lncRNA (ENSOCUG00000034397.1)". Lineage: Eukaryota; Metazoa; Chordata; Mammalia; Lagomorpha; Leporidae. The record is from RNAcentral.
CACUCAUUUAAUCAUCACAGCAUCCACUUCUAUAGAUAAGGAAAGAGAAACACAGAGAGGCUUAGUCAGUUGCCCAACAGCACACAGAUAAUAAGUAGGAAAGCUGGAAUUUGACCUCACAGGCCAGCUUUGUAGUCCUUGCUCUUAUCCUCCCAUUCAGGGUAUACAAACUUGGGCAACAUCCUUCCAUCACAACUCACCCAAGGAAUCUGUUGGUUACCAGGUGCAUGGAGUUCCUAUUAGUCACGAUUAGGCAUUUUUUUCAAAAGUGUGCAGAACUGAUGGUCUCUUGAUUGUCUUCAUUAACUAUACUUUUACCAUUGUGUUGACUGUGUUUUGACUUGUGGGACAGAGAGAGGAGAGAUAUUGAAAGUGCCCUUUGAAACUACUGUUUCACUCAGGGACCUGAUUAUGCAUCUGAAUAUCUCUCAGAUCUGCCCUGGUCUGUGGUCAGGGGAAGGCUUUCAGAAGUUUUUCUGAGUUGUUUUUUUUUUGUUUUUUUUUUUUUUGUUUUUUUUUUUUUUUGUUUUUUUGGCAGAAAGAGAACAACUAUUAGCUUGGUUAUGACCGAAAAAAUACUCCCUUGCGCCAAUGAUGCUAUUGACUCAAUGAUGCUUCCUGUGUUACACAACCCAACACCCCUCUUGGCUGUAACAGCACCGGAUUUUACCGUGUAAUGGCUCCAUUGGCUGUCCACAUGGAGCUAUGCCAUCCCGUAUGGUUCUACUACCCCGUCUUGUCCCCCUGCAGACUUCUCUCCACACACAUUUUGAAAUUUAGCUGGUGCUUUUCCAGCGAAGAAAUUUCUCCUGCUCAGAUGAUCGUGAUCAAAUGACAGACAAGGGCACCAUCGGUUGCCAGGCACUGAGAUGGAAUAAACAUCAACCCGCUUCCCGCGCCUUCUCCUCUGAGAAAGAGCAGCAACGCCUUGAGAGUCAGGAGUAACACAGUGACCAAAUAAAAAUGAUUUAUUGGAAAAUAUCCAGAGUUCCUCUGGGAGGUCUGUCACAGAUAUUGUCUCCACGGGGAGCUGGGUUCCUGUGCUGGCUGCACACGGCAAGUUGGCUAACGCCAUUUUUCUUCGGUACAUGCUGUCUCUGGGGCUUCUUCUGCUUACAUCAUGAUGUCAGCAACCUGUGGCUUAGCUCCAUGAAGGUAAAGUUUCUGUCAUCAUUAUCAAUUCUUGUGUGUCUGACUACAGUAAGACCAUGA